UUAAAAAAAUUGAAAUUUUUUUAAUCAGUUUUUUUACUGUAAAAAACACAAAUUUUCAUUUUUAAGUCUCUGCACGUCUUAAAUGGAAGCUUUUGCAAUUACCUUUAAAAUACCUUGCGGUUUUUUGUGAUACGAUGAUUUCCGACCGAGAUACAAAACUUUCAAGUUUGCCUAAUUUUGAGUUACGUACUGUGUCAUGGUUAUAAAUGUUCUUUGUUCUGCAACCGGCUUCUUCCUUUGUCUGACGGUCUCAACAUUUACAGAUGUACUAUAAUCAAAGCAACAUACAACUAAUUAUUAAUAGGAGGGAUUAAUACGAAGGAGUAAAUAAUCGAAGCAAUACAACUAAUUAUAGUGUCUCAACAACCAACGUUUUAAUAAGGAUUGAAAAUAAGCAUCUGGCAGAGAAGAUGUACAGCUUCAUGAGUGGCAUUAUUCCCAAGAGUAUACAAAAUAUUAAGAGAUGAUGGUUUAGAAAUGCACCUGAGCAUGUGAGACUUAGCACCUUCACAAGCAUGCCUCAUAUCAUAGAAAAGAACAGAUACAGAAAUAUCAAAAGUAUGGCACACAUUAAAGAUAGAAGAGAUUUCAUAUUUCUUCCUUCUACUUAAUAAUAUAUCCAUGCUAUGAAAACAGUAGCUCAGAUCAUCCAUAUAAGUCCUUUAGACUCAAAAUAUUAAAUUAUGAAGAAAAAAAAACUGAAUGAACUAACUAACUAACUAAAAAAAACUACAUGAAUGUAUUUGGGCUUUGAGCAGCACAUAUAAUGGAGUUAUCAUACC
This is a long non-coding RNA of Phymastichus coffea, 782 nucleotides long. RefSeq lists it as uncharacterized. The record is from RefSeq and is a predicted model, not a curated record. NCBI's taxonomy places the organism in Eukaryota, Metazoa, Arthropoda, Insecta, Hymenoptera, Eulophidae. The transcript has 5 exons.